UGGCUCAGGAUGAACGCUAGCUACAGGCUUAACACAUGCAAGUCGAGGGGCAUCAGGAAGAAAGCUUGCUUUCUUUGCUGGCGACCGGCGCACGGGUGAGUAACACGUAUCCAACCUGCCCUUUACUCGGGGAUAGCCUUUCGAAAGAAAGAUUAAUACCCGAUAGCAUAAUGAUUCCGCAUGGUUUCAUUAUUAAAGGAUUCCGGUAAAGGAUGGGGAUGCGUUCCGUUAGGUUGUUGGUGAGGUAACGGCCCGCCAAGCCUUCGAUGGAUAGGGGUUCUGAGAGGAAGGUCCCCCACAUUGGAACUGAGACACGGUCCAAACUCCUACGGGAGGCAGCAGUGAGGAAUAUUGGUCAAUGGGCGCUAGCCUGAACCAGCCAAGUAGCGUGAAGGAUGAAGGCUCUAUGGGUCGUAAACUUCUUUUAUAUAAGAAUAAAGUGCAGUAUGUAUACUGUUUUGUAUGUAUUAUAUGAAUAAGGAUCGGCUAACUCCGUGCCAGCAGCCGCGGUAAUACGGAGGAUCCGAGCGUUAUCCGGAUUUAUUGGGUUUAAAGGGAGCGUAGGUGGACUGGUAAGUCAGUUGUGAAAGUUUGCGGCUCAACCGUAAAAUUGCAGUUGAUACUGUCAGUCUUGAGUACAGUAGAGGUGGGCGGAAUUCGUGGUGUAGCGGUGAAAUGCUUAGAUAUCACGAAGAACUCCGAUUGCGAAGGCAGCUCACUGGACUGCAACUGACACUGAUGCUCGAAAGUGUGGGUAUCAAACAGGAUUAGAUACCCUGGUAGUCCACACAGUAAACGAUGAAUACUCGCUGUUUGCGAUAUACAGUAAGCGGCCAAGCGAAAGCAUUAAGUAUUCCACCUGGGGAGUACGCCGGCAACGGUGAAACUCAAAGGAAUUGACGGGGGCCCGCACAAGCGGAGGAACAUGUGGUUUAAUUCGAUGAUACGCGAGGAACCUUACCCGGGCUUAAAUUGCAGUGGAAUGAUGUGGAAACAUGUCAGUGAGCAAUCACCGCUGUGAAGGUGCUGCAUGGUUGUCGUCAGCUCGUGCCGUGAGGUGUCGGCUUAAGUGCCAUAACGAGCGCAACCCUUAUCUUUAGUUACUAACAGGUUAUGCUGAGGACUCUGGAGAGACUGCCGUCGUAAGAUGUGAGGAAGGUGGGGAUGACGUCAAAUCAGCACGGCCCUUACGUCCGGGGCUACACACGUGUUACAAUGGGGGGUACAGAAGGCAGCUAGCGGGUGACCGUAUGCUAAUCCCAAAAGCCUCUCUCAGUUCGGAUCGAAGUCUGCAACCCGACUUCGUGAAGCUGGAUUCGCUAGUAAUCGCGCAUCAGCCACGGCGCGGUGAAUACGUUCCCGGGCCUUGUACACACCGCCCGUCAAGCCAUGGGAGCCGGGGGUACCUGAAGUACGUAACCGCAAGGAUCGUCCUAGGGUAAAAC
Molecule: ribosomal RNA, 1445 nt
Filed under: uncultured organism
Description: SSU rRNA
Rfam family: Bacterial small subunit ribosomal RNA
Source: RNAcentral